GAGCAUUGGAUGAUGAUGGAAACAUGACCCGGCUGGGUGAGAUAAUGAGUGAAUUUCCUCUCGACCCUCAGAUGGGGAAAAUGCUUGUUGUCAGCCCCGAAUUCAACUGCUCCAACGAAAUCCUCUCAAUAUCUGCCAUGUUAUCAGGUACGAUUUCCUGCCAAUUUACUUCCAUUUUGUUGGUUGUCGUGUCUUGUCUUGUCUUUGUUCUAUGUCGAGAGUUUGUCAGGCUUGGGAAUGCUAGUCCGCUUCACCAUGCCUUCUUGUUCACGUGCAUAGACAUUUGUCUAUGCAUAUGAUAUCACGUGCUAAGCUGCACAACAUGUGCAUAUGUGUGGGGUUAGUUGCACGUGUCUUCUUAGGAUGUCAUCAGCAACUGUCUUGUCUGGGUUCUAUGCCCCCGGUUGGCAUGUGCCGUAGAUUUCUAAGUAAGUGCUGAUGGAGAUAGUUGCAGUUUCUCAGUAUUCUCUCAUGAAGCAAAUGGUGUCGUCUCGCCUGUAUGCAUCUGCUGACCUACAGUGGGCCUCCGCUGUGAUAACCAAUUUUUUCUCUAGUACCCAAUUGCUUUGUCCGGCCUAGGGAGGCUCAAAAAGCUGCGGAUGAAGCAAAGAAUCGGUUCGGUCACAUAGAUGGGGAUCAUUUGACGUUGCUGAAUGUGUAUCAUGCCUACAAGCAAAACCAGGAGGAUCCUCAAUGGUGUUAUGAGAAUUUCAUCAAUCAGAGGGCUCUCAAAUCAGCUGACAAUGUGAGGCAACAGCUUUCUCGCAUAAUGGCCAGGUUCAACCUCAAGUUAUGCAGCACAGACUUCAACAGUCGCGAGUACUAUGUGAACAUAAGGAAGGCUAUGUUAGCCGGAUAUUUCAUGCAGGUUGCACACCUAGAGCGUACUGGGCAUUAUCUAACCGUUAAAGACAAUCAAGUGGUACACUUGCAUCCUUCAAAUUGCCUGGAUCACAAGCCAGAAUGGGUUAUAUAUAAUGAAUAUGUCUUAACAAGCAGGAAUUUCAUCCGCACUGUGACUGAUAUCCGUGGUGAAUGGUAAAUUUCGUUAUUUUUACCUUUCUAUAUGCCUUGUUAAUUAUUACUCUUUUUUCUUUAGUACGACUGAGAGGAUCUAUCUUCUCACCUGUAAAGGAAAAGGGCACUUUUUCCUGUUCCAAAUUGUGCUGCUACUUACUACCUAAGCAAAAUCAGCAUUUAUACCCUUAACCCUUUAUUGAGUCCCAAUUUUCAAGAUUCCUGCAGAGGUUCAUUCAUCGGAUCUGUUCUCUAAGUAGUCCUGGUAUAAUCAGUAAGGAGUAAUGUUAAUUGGCUGAAACCAGGACUCUUUAUCUUGAACUUCUUUCAAAUAGACCUCCUGUUCAAGGGGACAAAUGUAUCUUUCUAAAAACUAAAUUCGAUAAUAGCGUGCGUACAAAUGGCUAAUGUUUCCUUGCUAUUAUCUUCUUUCUUCUUUUUUGUAAUUUUUCUCAGGUUGGUUGAUAUUGCACCACACUACUAUGACCUUGCAAACUUUCCACAAUGCGAGGCGAAACGAGUGCUUGAGCGGUUAUACAAGAAGCGGGAGCGAGAAAAAGAUGAAAGCAAGAGCAAAAAAUGAAUCCAUUCGUCAUACUUUUAGUUCCUCCAAGCACGAACACUCCAUGGGAACUCUGGGGUCAGAAUUUGGCCGAUAGGUUAAAGAUUGAUGUACCAUCUAUUAUGUACUGUAAUAGUUUCUAUGAAUCCCAUCUGAACUAUUUAAUACCCUGUUUCUUGUUGCUGGAGUGAUCUAUUUUUUAUCUGUUCCUCGCGUUCAAUGUUGUGAAUUAUCGAACCAUCAUUGUAAGUUUUUUCAUGUGCUGAAGAAAAU
Molecule: unclassified non-coding RNA, 1852 nt
Filed under: Hevea brasiliensis (rubber tree)
Lineage: Eukaryota; Viridiplantae; Streptophyta; Magnoliopsida; Malpighiales; Euphorbiaceae
Source: RNAcentral